Molecule: microRNA precursor, 97 nt
Organism: Nicotiana attenuata
Lineage: Eukaryota; Viridiplantae; Streptophyta; Magnoliopsida; Solanales; Solanaceae
Rfam family: MIR6152 microRNA precursor family
Source: Rfam
UGGACAAAUUAUUGUAUUCGACUGUAUUCACGUGCGUGAAAUAGGGGAUUACACUGUUUUUAAACGGAAAGUGAAUCAAUUAACAUAAUAGACUCCU